This is a long non-coding RNA of Sphaeramia orbicularis (orbiculate cardinalfish), 139 nucleotides long. RefSeq lists it as uncharacterized. The transcript has 3 exons. The record is from RefSeq and is a predicted model, not a curated record. Lineage: Eukaryota; Metazoa; Chordata; Actinopteri; Kurtiformes; Apogonidae.
GAAGUGAUCAUGUAAACAGUAUAAUCUGAUAUGUUUUAUUAGGUAACAGCAGUAAUCUGAUUAUGAGAAAUCAGAGUAACACACCUAGAUUUUCCCCAAUACUCCCAUGUUUUCAUGCAUAUACAGGGUUAAUCUGACU